GAUUUCCGUAGGUGAACCUGCGGAGGGAUCAUUACCGAGUUUACAACUCCCAAACCCCUGUGAACAUACCACUUGUUGCCUCGGCGGAUCAGCCCGCUCCCGGUAAAACGGGACGGCCCGCCAGAGGACCCCUAAACUCUGUUUCUAUAUGUAACUUCUGAGUAAAACCAUAAAUAAAUCAAAACUUUCAACAACGGAUUUCUUGGUUCUGGCAUCGAUGAAGAACGCAGCAAAAUGCGAUAAGUAAUGUGAAUUGCAGAAUUCAGUGAAUCAUCGAAUCUUUGAACGCACAUUGCGCCCGCCAGUAUUCUGGCGGGCAUGCCUGUUCGAGCGUCAUUUCAACCCUCAAGCACAGCUUGGUGUUGGGACUCGCGUUAAUUCGCGUUCCCCAAAUUGAUUGGCGGUCACGUCGAGCUUCCAUAGCGUAGUAGUAAAACCCUCGUUACUGGUAAUCGUCGCGGCCACGCCGUUAACCCCCAACUUCUGAAUGUUGACCUCGGAUCAGGUAGGAAUACCCGCUGAACUUAAGCAUAUCAAUAAGCGGAGGAAAU
RNAcentral lists this ribosomal RNA (551 nucleotides) under uncultured fungus. RNAcentral's name for it is "eukaryotic LSU rRNA". The stretch from base 183 to 336 matches the Rfam family "5.8S ribosomal RNA". The record is from RNAcentral. Lineage: Eukaryota; Fungi.